AUGGCCGCUGGUCUAACAAUGCACCUGGCAGGAUCAGGAACAUCCACUUUUUCUCCAAAUGAAAGGUUACACACAGGGCACUGUCUUUUGAAGAGACCAGGCCAUCUGUUUCACUUGUGGGGUUUGUCUUACUGUUUUCUUGUGGUGGAGUUUUUGGUGAAGUUUUGAAGAAGGAUGAAAACACUCUGGAGCUUGAGCUGGAAUCCCUGGGCUGCCCCAAGGACACAUGCUCUGCUGCCUGUUGAAAAUGAGGGAAGAAACCAAUAAACAGGGAGCAUUCAUUUCUUUCUUUAUUGCAGCAAAACAUACAUAACAUAAAAUUCAUCAUUUUAACCAUUUUUAAGUGUACU
Molecule: long non-coding RNA, 350 nt
Filed under: Macaca mulatta (Rhesus monkey)
Lineage: Eukaryota; Metazoa; Chordata; Mammalia; Primates; Cercopithecidae
Description: lncRNA (ENSMMUG00000053774.1)
Source: RNAcentral